Molecule: microRNA precursor, 189 nt
Filed under: Oryza brachyantha (malo sina)
Lineage: Eukaryota; Viridiplantae; Streptophyta; Magnoliopsida; Poales; Poaceae
Description: MIR812 microRNA precursor family
Rfam family: MIR812 microRNA precursor family
Source: Rfam by way of RNAcentral
AAUAAAUUCAGUUUUCAGUUUUUCGAUACUAUGUUUGACUCUUCAUCGUAUUUGAAUUUUUUUACGAUUAAUAUUUAUAUUAUUACUAGAUGAUAAAAUAUGAAUAGUACUUCAUACGUGCCUAUUUUUUUAAGUUUUUCUAUAAUUUUUUUAAAUACAACGAAUGGUCAAAUAUUAAAUACAGAAAUU